GGGGACAUAACUCAGUGGUAGAGUGCCACCUCGACACGGUGGAAGUCAUCGGUUCGAACCCGGUUGUCCCAA
This 72-nucleotide transfer RNA is filed under the name Shehbazia tibetica. Its description in RNAcentral is "tRNA-Val". It matches the Rfam family "tRNA". From Rfam's summary of the family: Transfer RNA (tRNA) molecules are approximately 80 nucleotides in length. Their secondary structure includes four short double-helical elements and three loops (D, anti-codon, and T loops). The record is from RNAcentral. Lineage: Eukaryota; Viridiplantae; Streptophyta; Magnoliopsida; Brassicales; Brassicaceae.